This is a long non-coding RNA of Neofelis nebulosa (Clouded leopard), 1855 nucleotides long. RefSeq lists it as uncharacterized. Lineage: Eukaryota; Metazoa; Chordata; Mammalia; Carnivora; Felidae. The record is from RefSeq and is a predicted model, not a curated record. The transcript is spliced from 3 exons.
UCUAUGUCCUCAAGGAGCUCUUAGUCAAAGUUCUUCACCUUUAUAUGAUACUCUAUCCAAAUCUUUAUUUUGUUUCAGCAGUAGUGGCCCUGGAUUGCUGGCAAUGGGUGCAUCAUACUGCUAAUGGUUUACAGUCAGUGGUGUGUUUCUUACUACAAGAUUAUCUCAUUCACCAGACAGCUUAGGAGAAAGUACUUGCAUGAAAGUAAAGGAGUUUUUGUUGGACAUCUUUUAGAAAUGCCCGAGAUACAUGAGGAUCAGCUGUGUAAAUACUCAUUAUUAGGCUGUACUUGGUUAUUCUGAGUCACAGCGCUCUCUUGUGCUUGUUUCUAAACUAACUGGUCCUGCACUGCCUCUGUGGUUUUGUAGUUCUAGCUGCACUUCUGGGAUCCCAAACCCCAGUGCCAUCCUGUCCCUUUAUUCUCAUUUGAGUUCAACAAAUGAAGUUAUGGCGACAAGGUUUCUGUGAACCUGGAUUCUUAGGAGGGAGUUCUCUGCACAGUAAAUAUUCGUCACUGGAAGGGUAUGUCUCACCACCGCAAAUUAGCUCUCAUGCAAACGAGGCGCCUGGGACUCCUGCCCCUUGUAUCUGUAACUCUGCCAUUGUGAACACGUGGCUUCCUGAGUUUUCCUGGAGGAUAGCUCCAUUCCACCUACAGGAGGCAAGGAGGUUAGAAGGUCACAUGCUGAAGGCUUUUAGGUAUCAGGCCCAUCAUUUCCUUACUGCACUGGAAGCUGAGAGACCACCCUGUUGUGUCCCCAGAAAGAGGAGGGAAAAGGUUGCCUCUGAGAGCCUGAUAUGCUAUUACUUACCAGCCACCCUGGAAAGCCUGCCCUUGCUUGGACUAAGCAAAUUCCUAUGGCACCUAAAAGCGAUUCAGGAAGAGAAGCAGAGAGAUCCAGACACAAGUUGGGUGCUGUCGGAAUGUUUAGGAACUAUCCUCUACAGCUGCAGGUAAAGUUGGUGGGACGUCAGCAGCAUCUUCUACAAAAAGAAUAAAGAUACUAAUUCUCUAUAUUUCUUUCAGACAAUUGUAAACAGCGUAUGUUGUGUUGCUAAAGGUGUGAGAAAACAGCAUGCUGAUAUGCUGUUGUUGAGAAUGUGUAUUGGUACAGCUUUCAUGAAGGCAGUUUGAUGGUAGCUAUCAGUAUUGAAGAUGAAUAUACUCUUUGAUCCAGGUUUUAGGAUUUUCACUUCUAGGAAUUUUUGAUCCUGCAGAUAUUUGUGCAAAGACUUUCAUACAAGGAUUUUCACUGUAAUAGUAAAAGAUUGGGGGAAGGUUUCCUCAGCACGACAUAGUAAGUUAUUGUACAUCCUUAUACCAUCACCCUUAAAUAGGAAGAGGUCCUCUCUGUGUACUGAUAUUGAACACUAGUAGGAGGGAGCAGAAAAUAUAAAAUGACUAACAGUGCAUAUAGUGUACUCUCAUAUUGUGCACAUGAAAAAAGAGAAAGUGUGGGUAUUUCUUCAUGCUAUGGAUUUUAUUCUUUAUAUGACUUUUCUGUCAUUCCUAGGGAUUUGAGGCUCCGGGGUAGUAUUAGUCUACCAAAUGAUAGACUGUGAAAACGAAUAUGAUGAAAACUGGCAAAUAAUAACAGAGUUCAACAAAGGGACUGGAUAGCAACUAGACAUUCACAAAUUGGUAGUUUUCCAGUUCACCAGCAGCAGACAGUUAGAAAAUGCAACAGAAAGAAAUUCACAACAGAAACCUAAGUAUAAAAUACCUGAGAAUAAACAUUCAAACAUACAUUCAACAUUGUAUAGUAAAUAUAAAAGAUCUUUAUAAGAUAAAAGGUAAACAUUAUAGGCCAUAGAAGAAAACCUAAGUAAAUGGAGAAUAUUAUUAUUCAUAGA